This 240-nucleotide ribosomal RNA is filed under the name uncultured bacterium. Its description in RNAcentral is "partial 16S ribosomal RNA". It matches the Rfam family "Bacterial small subunit ribosomal RNA", at positions 100 to 334 of the family's 1533-position model. The record is from RNAcentral.
CCGGCACGGGUGAGUAACACGUAUGCAAUCCACCUGUAACAGGGGAUAACCCGGAGAAAUCCGGACUAAUACCCCAUAAUAUGGGCGCUCCGCAUGGAGAGCCCAUUAAAGAGAGCAAUUUUGGUUACAGACGAGCAUGCGCUCCAUUAGCCAGUUGGCGGGGUAACGGCCCACCAAAGCGACGAUGGAUAGGGGUUCUGAGAGGAGGGUCCCCCACAUUGGAACUGAGACACGGUCCAA